GAAGAAUGCCUCUUAUAAUACAAACAAGUAAUAAUCCAACAGCGAUGAAACACAAUACAACAAUGCCAUUUUUGUGAUCUCCAUUCAUGAUCUCUCCCUCGUUCACAAAUGAGAAAAGGGUAGCUUUCCGUUUCUCAGUAGUUUGGAAUACAUAAUUUGAACUGAUAAUCAGUUUGACCUAGGUAUACAACAGGGACCCUGACUUGAAUUCCUAAUCUGCAAAAUGCUUGUCUUGACCAGUAUUCACAAUAAUUUUCUGACCAAUAAAUAGGACUCAACCUCCAAAUAGCUAUGAUAAGCUCUAUUACAUUCAAACUCCUAACAUCGCAUGAUUUACCAGAAACCUCUGCAAGAACAAGUACCAUCCUUAAAAUGAUGAAAACGAUUAGAAUCUCUCAUUACGAUCUCCCUCCUCGUUAUCUUAGACAUGAACUUGGCCAUUUCAUGACAGUCCCCACAGACUCUUAAAUUUUUGGUUACCCGUAUCGUUUUGCCGGGUGGUAAGUUCAAUAUUCCAAAAGCCAUGGCCAAUUUUUCACUAUGCCCACAAAGAGUCAUUUCCUUCUCCAGGUCAUCUGCAUUAAUCAGUGAAUAUUCCAUUUUAGGAAAGUAACCUUCCUCCUUCAUCUUUGAUCUUAACUCAUUCAAUAAAGACUUGAUCUUCUGGGAUUGUAGGUGUGAACCGUCUCCAGAAACAAAUAUAUGAACUUUGCCCUUGACCUCUAUCCAACUGCAGCCAGGAUUUUUCUUUAAACCCCGCCCACCAAUCCUCUCUCUUAGUUUUUUCACUUCUUCCCACUUUUCAGCCUCAGAAUAGAUAUUUGCUAAAAGUACGUAGUAUCCUGUGUUCUCAGGUUCUAGUUCAAAGACAUGUUCUGCUACUUUUUCUGCUAAUUUAACAUCAUGGUGAAUCCUGCACCCACAGAGCAAAGCACCCCAUAUUGUGGCAUCGGGUUCAAUUGGCAUUGAUUUUAUGAAUUGAUAUGCCAUUGAUAGUUUCCCAGUGCGGGCAAGAAGAUCCACUAUACAAGCAUAGUGCUCCAAUUUUGGAGCAAUACUGCAUUCAUGUUGCAUAAUGUUAAAUAAUAUCCAUCCUUCAUUUAGUAACCCAGAAUGGCUGCAAGCAUACAGUAUAGAAAUAAAGGAAACUUCAUCAGGCUCAAUCCCUGCUUGCCUCAUCUCAUUGAAGGCAGCAAUAGCUUCUUUCCCAAAUCCAUGCAUUCCAUACCCAGCAAUCAUCACUGUCCAUGAGAUCAGAUCCUUAGUGAGAAUCAUAUCAAAUAGUAACCGUGCAAGAGCUAAUGCCCCGCACUUCACAUACAAGUCAACAAGUGCAUUGGCAACAUGUUGAUCAGAAAAACAAUCAUUUCUCAAUAUGAAGCCAUGGAUCUCUCUACCUCUAUCUAGAGCAGCUAGGCUAGCACAAGCUGGAAGAAUACAAGCGAUUGUUCUACCAUCAGGUUUUAAUUCUUGUAACAUUGCAACAAACAGACCAAGAGCUUCAUUGGGAUGACCAUUUUUUGAAUACCCUCCAAUCAUAGUAUUCCAUGAGAUAAUGUCUUUCAUAGGCAUCUUCAGAAACACUGAGUUAGCUUCUUCCAUGCUUCCACAUUUUGCAUACAUAUCCAUGAGAGAAUUACAUACAAAAAGAUUUGAUUGGAUAUCAUUUCCCUUGAUGUAAUUAUGCACAUCCUUGCCAUCUUCCAGUGACCCAUUACAAGCACAAGCAUGAAGAAUUGUAGAAAUGGUAAAAAUAUCUGGUCUAACACCUUCACUUUUCAUUUUUUGGAACAAUCUAAUAGCCCCUUCAGACAAACCUUCUCGAGCAUAACCUGCAAUCAAGGAAGUCCAAGAUACAACACUUCUUUCACCCAUCUUCUCAAAAACUAGAAUUGCAUCAUGCAAGUCACCACAUUUAGAAUACAUGUCCAGUAAAGUAUUAGCAAAGGUUAUUCUCCUAUCAAAACAGGCCUUUAUUGCUAAAGCAUGAACUGCUCUACCCAACAGAACAUUGUCACAAUUUACACAAGCUGCAAGGACACUGAUCACUGUAGACAAAUCCAAGUUAACUCCCAAAUAUAGCAGCUCUUUGAAAACCAGCAGUCCUUCCUCGGGAAGAUCAUUUGCCACAUAACCACUUACCAUAGAAUUCCAUGAGAUACUAUCUCGGUCACUCAAUUCAUCGAACAACUUACGUGCACUCUCAACUUUCCUAAUGUUGAAGUAAAAAGAUAUUAGAGAAUUAACAACAAUAUUAUGGGAGCCAUAACCCAAUUUCAACAAAUACCCGUGAGCCCAUUCACCUUCCUUACGACUUCCUAAUGCUGCAAAACACUUCAAAAUGCUGGAAAACGUAUGAGAGUUCACUUCAACCCCCAAAUCCAACAUCUUCCUGAAUAUAUGUACACUUUCCUCAAAAUCACCGAUCCAUGCAUACCCAGUUAACAUUAGAUUCCAAAGAAAAACUUUCCGAUUUGCAAUCUUAUCAAAAAUUAAUCUCCCUUCUCUUAUAUCCCCACAACUUACGUACAUAAAUACAAGUUUUGUUCCCAAAACCCCAUCGAUUGAAACCCCAUUAGAGCAAAUAAUCGAAUGAACUUGUUUGCCAUCUUGUAAAGAGUUAGUGUCGGCACAAAGCUGCAAUACUGAACAGUAAGUACUUGAUUCAAUUUUGAUUUUUGGAGACAUGUGAAGCAAUUCUAUGGCUUUUCUAAGAUUACCCACUUCACAAAAUUCACAGAUUUUUCUGUUGCAAUCAGAGAUUUUGUAUUCUUCUGCCUCAAUAACCGAGGAAGAGAUGGACAAUGUGGUAUAAGAACUGUGUAAAUGGGAUGAAAAAAGAGUGGACUUUGGAUAUGGUUUACCAAAAAAGAAGGCAUUUCGAGAUUUGAUAGAGCUGUCUCUGUGGUUUUUGUUCUGUGGAGAAACAGAGAUCUUUGGUGGUGCGGUUUUGGCCAUGGAAAUCAACAUUGAAUAGAGAAAAAAAAUGCGGGAAAACAAACUUUUG
RNAcentral lists this unclassified non-coding RNA (3007 nucleotides) under Hevea brasiliensis (rubber tree). Lineage: Eukaryota; Viridiplantae; Streptophyta; Magnoliopsida; Malpighiales; Euphorbiaceae. The record is from RNAcentral.